RNAcentral lists this unclassified non-coding RNA (1742 nucleotides) under Onthophagus taurus. Its description in RNAcentral is "tWiK family of potassium channels protein 18-like, transcript variant X3". The record is from RNAcentral. Lineage: Eukaryota; Metazoa; Arthropoda; Insecta; Coleoptera; Scarabaeidae.
ACGUCGAAAAAGAAGAAAAAAUCGCAGUUUGAAAAGGUUGCGCGGUCGCGAGGCUGAAAAUUAUUUUCGUUCGAGGUCUUGUUAUCGCUUCUGGUCUAAGAUUUAAUGAGCGUUUGAGGUUUUUCUCUUUUGUGUAGGAACAAUAAAUUUUUUUUUAAAUGGGGAUUAUUAAAAGUAGACGAUUUUAUAAGGAUUUAAAAAGUUUUAAGAAAUAUUUUUUAGUAAAAAGUGCUAAGGAAUUUCAAAUUAAUUUCUAAGUGUAAUAAAAAAUUGAUUUUUUUUUAAUAAACUUUUUAAACAGUGAGUUAAAUGGGGUUGUGUUAAGAUUGAGGUUAUAAUCAAAAAAAAAUGUGAGAAAAUGAAAAGGAAACAUAGAAAAUUUCAAAUUUAACUCUCCAAUGGACCGACAAAGAUCGUUUCGAAGACGGAGAAGAAGUCGCCAAUCUUUGGCGAAACAAGUUAAGGAAUGUUUAAGGAAAUUUAUUGCGUUUAUGUUUAGUAAUGUUGGUAUAAUUGGGCUUGUGGUUGGUUAUGCGAUAGCGGGGGCUUUUAUAUUUAUAAGGAUCGAGGAGGAGAGCGAUUCGUCGGAUUUAACUGUAGAAAUGUUCGCGAAUAUGACGAUUUUAAAGCGAAAUAUCGCGACGAGUUUAUGGAAUCUAACCGUUUCGACGAACAUUUUGAAUAAAACUCAAUGGAGGAACGAAGUGAACGCGACCCUUUUGUCAUUCCAAGAAACCGUUUCCGUCGAAGCCAAGGAUCACGGUUAUUCCGGCAAGAACAAGACUGCCAAAAUGUGGACCGUUUCCGGCGCAUUUUUAUAUUCACUAACAGUCAUAACAACGAUAGGGUAUGGAAAUAUCGUGCCGAAAACCGAUUGGGGAAAAAUCACGACGAUCGUUUACGCGAUAAUAGGGAUGCCCUUGUUUUUAUUGUACCUUUCGAACAUCGGCGAUAUAAUGGCCCGAUCCUUUAAAUGGCUCUACGCGACUUGCUGUUUAUGCAAAGGAUGCCCGAGCGUCUCGCAACGGCGCUUAGAACGCGAAAAAAGACGGAGGGAAGUACUCGAAAUGGCCACGUUUCAACAGAUCGAUAGUGAAAUGUCCGAAUCGUCCAGUUGGAAGGAUAAAGAUGUCCACUUAGACGGAUACACUCCCGAAGAUGGCGAAGAUUACGCCCCGAGUAUCGCAACUUCGGAUAAUCUAACUGAAGAGUCCUUCGAUACGCAAACUGUAACGGUUCCAGUUUUAAUUUGUUUGGCGAUUAUGGUUGGCUACAUUUUAUCGGGUGCUUGGCUCUUCUCCUCAUACGAACACGAUUGGGGGAUGUUAAACGCUUGUUAUUUCUGUUUCAUCUCAUUAAGCACGAUUGGUUUUGGUGAUUUCGUGCCUGGAGAUGAAAUUUACGCCACCGAUGAAGACGACGACCAGGAAAUUUUCGGCUUCGAGUUGAGUUUUAUUUUGUGCUCGAUGUACCUGAUGUUGGGGAUGGCUCUAAUCGCAAUGUGUUUUAACCUAAUGCAAGAAGAAGUAAUACAUAAGUUUAGAAGUUGCGUGGCCACGAUUAAAUACGUUUUAAGAUGCGGAAGAUAAAAAUUAAAUUAAUAAAAAAAUUACUAAAUAAGAAGAUGGGUAAAGAUCGAAAUCGGGGAUUAAGAAAAACAGACUUUUCGGAUGAGAGAGAAGAUUGAAUAAUGUAAAUGUGAAUGGAAAAUAAAUGAUUAAUAUAAAAUAGAAUCUUUAAAA